Molecule: long non-coding RNA, 520 nt
Filed under: Parus major (Great Tit)
Lineage: Eukaryota; Metazoa; Chordata; Aves; Passeriformes; Paridae
Description: lncRNA (ENSPMJG00000018225.1)
Source: RNAcentral
AUGCUUCUGGGCUCCAGGUUUUCUGUGAGACUGGUCUUGGAUAUUUACAGUCCUGGAAUUGCAGGUUUUGGAGGUCUCGACUCAGUGGGCAGCGGGAUGGGUGGGCUGAAGUCUCUAUAUGUUCCCAGGCUCCCUCCCACACUUCUUCCCAGCACUGCUGCCUUGGCCAGUUGGCAGGGGAGCAUGAAAUUGGGGCAGUUUUUUCGGCACAUGUCCCUGCCAGCACCUGCAAGCGCCAUUUCUCAUCUCUACAGCCCCUCUGUUCCUGCCUUCUACCGUGUGGGAGAUGCUGGCUGGGAUGGCUCUUGGAGGCAAGGUGGCCUGAGCCAGGGAAAACUGGAAUGCUGUGAAUACUGUGGUGAUUUUUCCUUCAAAGAACAACCAUUUCAAUCUAUAGGCACAAAUAGUAGAAGGCCAUGCUGUCCAGCAGGGAGAAGCUGCAAUAUGAAACAGGGAUAACUGAAAGGAGAGCGCAGUAAUCUUCAGCAAGAUGCAGAGAUCAGUUUCUUGUUAGUUAAUC